ACCAUCCUUUCCUUGGGGUUGUGCUAUUGUCCGAUGAGCACAUAGUGAGGGUGGUACUGUUAACACCCACACAGCAUGCUCACAUCAACGAGAGCUUUGCUUUACAUUGGUGCAAUUUUUGGAAAA
Nycticebus coucang (slow loris) is the source of this 126-nucleotide small nuclear RNA. RefSeq annotates it as U4atac minor spliceosomal RNA. The transcript has a single exon. Lineage: Eukaryota; Metazoa; Chordata; Mammalia; Primates; Lorisidae. The record is from RefSeq and is a predicted model, not a curated record.